UGCCCCGUUGGGUAAUGGUAGCCCACAAGAUUCUGGAUCUUGCUGUCUUGGUUCGAGUCCAAGCGGGGCAACCA
RNAcentral lists this transfer RNA (74 nucleotides) under Omnitrophica WOR_2 bacterium RIFCSPLOWO2_12_FULL_51_24. RNAcentral's name for it is "tRNA-Gln". It matches the Rfam family "tRNA". From Rfam's summary of the family: Transfer RNA (tRNA) molecules are approximately 80 nucleotides in length. Their secondary structure includes four short double-helical elements and three loops (D, anti-codon, and T loops). Further hydrogen bonds mediate the characteristic L-shaped molecular structure. tRNAs have two regions of fundamental functional importance: the anti-codon, which is responsible for specific mRNA codon recognition, and the 3' end, to which the tRNAs corresponding amino acid is attached (by aminoacyl-tRNA synthetases). tRNAs cope with the degeneracy of the genetic code in two manners: having more than one tRNA (with a specific anti-codon) for a particular amino acid; and 'wobble' base-pairing, i.e. permitting non-standard base-pairing at the 3rd anti-codon position. RNAcentral also lists the same sequence under 1 other name. Lineage: Bacteria; Pseudomonadati; Candidatus Omnitrophota. The record is from RNAcentral.